This 1027-nucleotide ribosomal RNA is filed under the name Kapsulotaenia sp. INVE 32842. RNAcentral describes it as "eukaryotic LSU rRNA". It matches the Rfam family "Eukaryotic large subunit ribosomal RNA", at positions 59 to 639 of the family's 3401-position model. Lineage: Eukaryota; Metazoa; Platyhelminthes; Cestoda; Proteocephalidea; Proteocephalidae. The record is from RNAcentral.
AAGAACUAACCASGAUUCCCCUAGUAACGGCGAGUGAAGAGGGAAAAGCCCAGCACCGAAGCCUGCGGCAGAUUUGCUGUUAGGCAAUGUGGUGUUUGGGUCGGCUCGUGGGAUUGCCACUCCACUCGAAGUCCAGCAUUGAGUAUGGUCACUGGAUUUGGCCCAGAGAGGGUGAAAGGCCCGUACGGGUGGAGGUUCAGACAUGUAAGGCAGUUCACCAGGUCGACCUUAGAGUCGGGUUGUUUGGGAAUGCAGCCCAAAGCGGGUGGUAAACUCCAUCCAAGGCUAAAUACAGACACGAGUCCGAUAGCGAACAAGUACCGUGAGGGAAAGUUGAAAAGUACUCUGAAGAGAGAGUAAACAGUACGUGAAACCGCAUGCAGGUAAACGGGUGGCGUCAAGCUGCAAGCCCAGAGGAUUCAGCCGGUUAGGAUGUUGUGUAUGCGCCUGGCGCAUCUAUCAGUCGGAGUAUGAUUGGAUAGUCCACCAGUAGACGGUGGGCCUGACCGCAAGGUUGGGAUAUGUGUACCGGGUGGGUGCCGGAGCAUGCUAUCCGUCUGAGGACUGUCUAAUCGGUGCACUUUCUCUGUGGUGAACACCACGACCGGUGGUAUUGCCAGUCUGCUGUGUCCAAGUCGUGUUUGGUAGGUCCUUGUGGCCAACUGGAUGCGAUCACAGGCAAAUUUAGUAAACGGCGUAGAGGUGUUUCGGCAUCUCUGCGUGUUAUCGGCUACUAGUUGUCAACGGGCCUGCUCGAUGUUUGUUGUAACUGGCAUCGAGUGGUCUGGUGGGGCAUGGUGGUAAGAAUAACUGUGCAAGGCACCGGAGUUAUCGGCCUCAAAUGCAUUCUACACCCACGUUACAAGUGGUGUUGAUGGUGGUGUUGUUGCUGUCUGCCCGGUGUUGAGUCUGAUUGUCGUGUCGCCUGCACAAAGUAGGCCCGGCAGUGGCUCGACUCGGGAUGGGCAGUGGAUAAUGCUACCGGUGUGGUAUGUGGUGGGCCUAAUAGUCAGUGGUGUAGUGGUAG